Molecule: long non-coding RNA, 10486 nt
Filed under: Pelobates cultripes (western spadefoot toad)
Lineage: Eukaryota; Metazoa; Chordata; Amphibia; Anura; Pelobatidae
Source: RNAcentral
CUACAACCAAAGCAUAGUGAGAAAACUCCCGAUAGAUACACCCUACAACCCUAAUUUACAAAUCAAACUUCUUCCUAAAGGAUCAGAUAUCGGAGGAAAUGAUUGCCUUCUAGAAAGUAUUGAUGAACGAAAUCAAGCAUAAUGUAAGUAAAUUGGAAAAACAAGAAUUGGAAGGGGAUUUAGAUAAGCAGCAGAUAAGGGAGGAGGUGUCCUUUUUCUAUCUAAAGAAUACUAUAAUAAACAGUCUUUUAACAUUUUAAAUGAUCAAUACGCCGACCAACAGGUCAAUUUAGAUCAGAUUAAGGAGAUUAGGAAGAAUUUUUUUAAAGCUUUUACAUAAGGGAAAAACUACUGGAUUUUAACCCAAAAAAGUUACAUAGUUACAUAGUUACAUAGCUGAAAAGAGACUUGCGUCCAUCAAAUUCAGUCUUCCUCGCAUUUGUUUUUGCUGUUGAUCCAAAAGAAGGCAAAAAACCCAGUUUGAAGCACUUCCAAUUUUGCAACAAAAUAGGAAAAAAAUUCCUUCUUGACCCCAGAAUGGCAGUCAGAUUUAUCCUUGGAUCAAGCCGUUAUUACCCUACAUUGAAAGAUUAUAUCCUUGAAUAUACUGUUUUUGCAAGUAUGCAUCUAGUAGCUGUUUGAACAUCUGUAUUCCACAUCCUUAUUGUUCUUACAGUAAAAAAACCUUCUUUGCCUUAGAGGAAAUCUUCUUUCUUCCAGUCUAAACGCAUGACCUCGUGUCCUAUGUAAAGUCCGGUUUGUGAAUAGAUUUCCACACAAUGGUUUGUAUUGGCCCCGAAUAUAUUUGUAUAAUGUCAUCAUAUCUCUCAGGCGAUGUUUUUUAAACUAAAGAGGUUUAAAUUUGUUAUAACCUUUCUUCAUAGCCGAUAUGUUCCAUUCCUUUUAUUAAUUUUGUAGCCCGCCUCUGCACUUUUUCUAGUGCCAUAAUAUCCUUCUUUAGAACAGGUGCCCAAAAUUGCACAGCAUAUUCAAUAUGUGGUCUUACCAGUGAUUUAUAAAGAGACAAAAUUAUAUUCUCAUCCCUAGAAUGACAAUACCUUACUGGCCUUGGCCACUGCUGAUUGACAUUGCACAUUGUUGCAUAGUUUGUUGUCUAUAACAAUUCCCAAGUCCUUUUCAUGUGUUGUUAUCCCUAAUUUGCUUCCAUUAAGGGUAUACGUUGCUUGUGUAUUCUUUACGCCAAAGUGCAAACUUUGCAUUUUUCAACACUAAAUUUCAUCUGCCAUUUGAGUGCCCAGUCCCCCAGUCUAUCUAAAUCCCUCUGCAGCAAAGUAAUAUCUUGCUCACAUUGUAUUAUUUUACAAAGUUUUGUGUCAGCUGCAAACACUGAAACAUGACUUUCAAUGCUGUCUUCGAGAUCAUUUAUAAACAUUUUAAAUAGAAGGGGUCCCAGAACAGACCCCUGAGGGACACCACUUGCCACCUCUGUCCAGCUUGAAAAUUUACCAUUUAUGACAACUCUUGUUUUUAAAAAACACUUUCGGUAUGGAGACACUGAACUUUCCUCAUAGAGAUGCAUUGAUUCAAUGUAAUUCUAUGAGGAGAUGCUGAUUGGCCAGGGCUGUGUUUGGCUUGUGCUAGCUCUGCCCCUGAUCUGCCCCUGAUCUGACACUAGGGCACUCGAGCCAUGCAGAGGGCACUACAACAGUGCUCAGCUCAUACUCAGCCAGUAAUGGGACCUGCCAGCAUAAUUGGCAUGCCCCUUUCUGGACACAUCCAACGCAUGCAGCUUUGCCAGUGAUACCGAUUGCCUCACUGACCCCCUUUUAGGCCUGUUUAAUUCUAGUCCCAGUUUGCAUACCUCUUUAUGUUAGAAGGUAAGUUCAGUUGCUCCAUAUCACGUGUUAGCAAUGGGUUUAGUCUGACACACCUGAACCCAUUGAUCAGUAGGGAGGUCCACAUACUUUUAGCCGUAUUGCGUCUUGUUUUUAACCAAGAUAUAUUGAUAGACUUGUUUUAACCUCUUUAUGUUUAGCUGACCUGGGCUUAUUUCAGGGGUUAGGCAACCUUCGGCACUCCAGAUGUUGUGAACUACAUCUCCCUUGAUGCUUUGCCAGCUUUAUGGCUUUAUGAGCAUUAUGGGCGAUGUAGUCCACAACAUAUGGAGUGCCAAAGGCUGCCGAUCCCUGGCUACUGUAUAGUCAGAUGGCAAGAGUUAGUUUGGUAAUAUGUUUUUGCUGGGAAAGUAGAUGGCCUUUAAAUGGAAAACAGAGGAGCUAAAUCAAGGGCCAUUUUUACACAUUUGCACCAGUUAUCACAAUACAAUACUUUUUAUGUACAUAACCCUUAUUUUCUUAACAACAACUGAAUGGAGGUGCCCAGUUGCAGGAUAAAGAUUUUAUUUUCUGAUCAAGACAUAUGUUAGAUCCUCCCCUCACCGCUGAAAUGACAGGUAGUAGAGUUCAAUAUAAGAAUAAAUAGAGCCGCCCCAUCAGCCAGCCUUUUUUAAUUUCAUUCAUAGCAGAUAGGAAGGAGCCUUCUUUAGCGGACACCCAUCUUAUGCAUAUAUCCUAAAUAUAGGGGGAAUGUACAGACAAUAUUAAAGGGACACAAAUAUUUUUUAAGAUCAUUAUUUAGUAGAUCUACCCCCAAUGAAAACAUGUAUGCAUUUAAUUAUGCAUAUUUUUAAUUGGUGGUAUAUGUAAGAACAGUUUAUAAAAGCUGCAGAUGUAUUGUCUGAUGUCUUUGCAAGCCCUCCCCUUUUAACCCCGCCCAGACUUUCUAUGUCUGUCCAAUCACAGACUUCCCAAUGCAGCUCAUUGAGAAAUCUUUACAAGGCAGGUGGCUCUGGGCAAUUGCUGCCUCUUGAGUCUAGUUUCUCUGAGCUAAAUAAACCAGGAAGUAACAGGACUGGGGGUGGUGUAACAAGGUUAAUUUAUAAAAGUGCCAAUUUCUAUUGCAAUAUAUAUAAAAGGGGCUAAAGUUCUUUAGCAGUUUUGGAGUGUUCCUUUAAAAAUCAAAGGAAAUGGCAAUUUCCUUUUAAAAAAAAUUAAUUGUUGGAAAUAGUGGAUACAAAAACGUUUACUGAUGUUUUUGCUAAUUUUCUUGGUCUCGUCUGAGGUACUUGCAAAAUUACUGUCAUGUGAAUAGAAAAUUUAAAUAAAUAAAAGAAGAAACACAAUUACAUUUGAAUGUUCUUGCAUAUUGUAAGCAGAUCUGAGAAUAUCAAUCAAAAAGUUCAUUAGCUCAAUGUCAUAAAACUCAUAAAUUAGACAGAGCGUUCUGCUCUUUUCCGCUUCUCCUAAUUGCAAUGUCACAAGGAUAGAUACUUCUAAAUCAUACUGCAAUUACAUUUGUUUAAAAUACAGUUGUCCCUGGUUGCCAAGUAGUGUAGCUUUCAAUAUUGUCACAUGCGAUGCCUUGAAAAUAGUGUUAAUCUUUUCAAGUAAAAUAAGAAUGGAAAUGAUAACACUGAUGUAAACUCAGGGUUCCUAUUACCCGAAGCCCGGGACAGGCAGAUAUUUGGGUGUUUUUAGCCCUGCAAGUGGCACGGCUUCCUGGAGAGCAAUGGGCAGGGAGCGUGUGAUAUUAUGUACCUACCUGGCUUCCUGUUAGAGAUCGAGAAUAACUGGGUUUUAUCAGAGGUGUCUGAUUUAGGCAAUACUUCUACCAGACCAAUUACAGGAGAGUUGGCAGCGUCCUAAAACCCAGUGCUGCCUAUUGAUCUUCCAGUGUUCUGUCCUUACAGGUGAAACCCUCCAUUGUAAGCUGAGUUUAGAAACAUGGGGAAGGGGAAAUUUGACAACACGGACACAAGAAAGAGAAAGGUAUAUACGACAGAAGUUGGUAGUGGGGUGUAUGGGUAGAGAGACAGAAUGUAUUGAUGUAUACAGAGGCAGAAGGAUAGAAGUGGGAAAGUGGGGUGUAUGGGUAGAGCGAUAGAAUGUAUGGAUGUAUACAGAGGCAGAAGGACAGAAGUGGGAAAGUGGGGUGUAUGGGUAGAGGGAUAUAAUGUAUGGAUGUAAACAGAGGCAGAAGGACGGUGGUGGGGUGUAUGGGUAGAGGGAUAGAAUGUAUGGAUGUAUGCAGAGGCAGAAGGACAGAAGUGGGAAAGUGGGGUGAAUGGGUAGAAGGAUAGAAUGUAUGGAUGUAUACAGAGGCAGAAGAACUGAAGUUGCAUGUGCAGGGCCUUGUGUUGAAGUUUAUGACGGGCUUGAUUACAUUACAGGGGCAAUCUAAGUACCAUAAACACUGCAGCUAGCUAUAUUGAUUAUGCUACUUAUACCUUGGCAACAUCCUUAGAGAAUUUAGGAAUAGAACGAUUAUCAGUUCUGCCAAGUAUUAAAGACGAUAUUUGGCAUAUUACCGAUAAUCAGUAUUGGCCUUGUGAUUUAUAGAUAUUACCGAUACCAUACUCACCUCUCCCAGUCACUGCAAGCUGUCUUCUGCAUCCAGACACUCCAGCCGCCAGCCAAUGAGGCGCCACAUUGCAACCUCCCUGUGAGUCCCUGCAUGCGGAGCUCGGCUGAAGGAAGGGAGGUGAGUAGGUGAAUAAUCUACUGUAAUUAUUGUAAUUAUUGGCAUUAUUCUAUCGGUUCCCCCAAAAGAAAUGCUUAAAGAGCAUUUUUAAAUGAUGUUUUACUUAGCUUAAUCUGGUGCUGAGCAAAGCUCCCAGUGCGCCUUAUCUGUUCUCAUGAGAGUCACACCAAGGUCCACUCAAAGGCUUCUUACUCUGAGCUGGUGAAAGGGGGGGAUAGAGAGUGAAUGGGGAAGGAGGGAGAGCGGGGGAUUAAACUAAUAGUUGAGUGGACAGGGAGGAGGGAGAACAGACGAGGAGAAAUGGUUACACCUGUAGACAGAUUGCAGUGCGCACUGACGACAGACAUAAAAUAUGCACAGAAUUGACAUUAGUUCAAUUAAUUUCAUUUAGUGAGUACAUUAUAAGUCUGAGAUUUCAGUUUAUAUUUUGGUAGUCACAGAUCACAAAACACAAUGAGUAAAAUAAAAUUUUCAAUGUGGAACGAUUAAUAGCCACCCCCCUCCCCUUCCAUUUGCCUUAUUUGUAGCCCCCUCUACCUUAACAUUAGACACAGUUUCUAGCUCCCUCUCGCCAUUGCCAUGUUUCUAGCCCUUUCUCCCUCUCCAUUGGCCAUAUUUCUUGCCCUCUCUCCCUCUCCACUAGCCAUUUUUCUAGCCCCCGUUCCCCUUCUAUUAGUUAUUUUUAGCCCCCUCUCCCUCUCCAUUAGCCAUGUUUAUUUAUGGGGGGGGCUAGAUGGUGGUUUUAACACUAUAGGGUCAAGAAUACAUGUUUGUGUUCCUGACCCUAUAGUGGUCCUUUAAGCACAGUCCAGAUGGCUCACACUCUGCAUGUGACAUCACACAUUACUACAGAUUGGUCAGCAGGGGGCAGUGCUUAGAGCUCCUAGAAGCACAACUAAAGGGAUUCUCUAGUACCAGGAAAACAAACCCGUUUUCCUGGCACUAGAGAAUCCUGGAGCGCGCCCUCCCUCCUGCCCCCCAUCCCACAUCGCUGAAGCGAUGUCCCUCGGCGCUGGGUCAGGCUCCGCCCAAUGCUUUCCUAUGGGAACUCUAGUAACUCAUGCAUAGCGUGAGGACGUCCAGCGUCAUUUAGAUGACCAAAAGUCAUAUAAGAAGCCAGAAGUCCCUCUAGUGGCUGUCUGGUAGAGGUGGAGUUGAUCCGUAAAGGUAAUUAUUGCAGUUUAUAAAAACUGCAUUAAUUACACUUACAGGGUUAAGGAUAAUGGGAGUUGGCAUCCAGACCACUUCAAUGAGCUGAAGUGGUCUGGGUGUCUACAGUGUCCCUUAACUCUAGCUGGACUGUAACUGCAUCGCUGGGAACUCUGGUGUUUGUUCUUCUUGUUCCUGGCAGCUCUGACAGGCAGGAGGUAGAGAUGGGCUUUUAACAUGCAGAAUAGGCAAUCCUAUCAGGCAUAUGUCCAUUCAUUAGAAAGACUAAUGAACAAAAUGAACGAAUAGAAAUGAAAAAGAACGAAUGAAGACCAAAUUUCAAUAGGAUCUUUGUUCGUUCAUUUAGUUUAUUACAAGUAAGAAGCUACCGGUUGGCGGCUCCAUUCUUGUGAUAUGUAAAAUAGAAGCUGCUGGGAGCUGUGCUCCCUACCACUUCCAAACCUCCCCCCCCCCCCAUGUACCUCCUCACUCUAUGGGGGUCAAUAUGACUCCAAUAUAAGCAUAAGGGACAUUAAAAUCUCCCUCCUCCCCUUACUCGCUAUGCCGUGAGUAGGGACAUUUCUACUAAAGAGUGAGCAGCCAGUGACUGAUCACUGUUGGAAAAAAAAGACACACACACCAAAAUCCAAUAAAUGGGAUCCUCGCACAGGUUCCCCAUGCCCCCAUGGUGGGGCACCUAUUAUAAAAAUAAACAGGGCACCCCCCCGUGUCAAAAGAGUGCAGAAGGUAACCUAGCUUCCUUUACUAAAUGUGCAUUUAGUUAAAUUCUGUAGGGACCACAGCCUCCAGUAAGGGGCUGCUGUUUGCAAACCAUAUCCAACUCUGGGCCACUCACACAAGCUGAAGAAAAAGGAUAUAAUUUCAUAAAGCACACUAAUCUAAAGGACCACUGAAAACAUCUCAAUGAAGUAGUCUGGGUGGAGUAAUCCUGUUCUUGUUUUGUAGAAAAAUUUCAUUGCAGGGUUAAAGGACCACUAUAGUGCCAGGAAAACAUACUCGUUUUCCUGGCACUAUAGUGCCCUGAGGGUGCCCCCACCCUCAGGGUCCCCCUCCCGCCCGGCUCUGGGGAGAGGAAAGGGGUUAAAACUUACCUUUCUCCAGUGCCGGGCGGGGAGCUCUCCUCCUCCAAUCCUCCUCUGUUCCUCCCAUUCGGCUGAAUGCGCACGCACGGCAAGAGCUGCACGCGCAUUCAGCCGGCCGCAUAGGAAAGCAUUUACAAUGCUUUCCUAUGGACGCUUGCGUGCUCUCACUGUGAUUUUCACAGUGAGAAUCACGCAAGCGCCUCUAGCGGCUGUCAAUGAGGGCUGGCUUAACCCUAUUAUAAACAUAGCAGUUUCUCUGAAACUGCUAUGUUUAUAGAAAAAAAGGUUUAAUCCUAGCUGGAACUGGCACCCAGACCACUUCAUUAAGCUGAAGUGGUCUGGGUGCCUAGAGUGGUCCUUUAAACACACCUUUAGUGUCAGUCAAACAGACAGUCGCUUCAGCUACAACGUCCGAAUUUGUCUAAUAUGGCAUUUGACAUCCUCACUCAUUGCAUUGGACAUUAUAUUCAAUGCUUUCAUAUGAGGAGACAAAAAGGGAAUUUGGGGCAUACCCAGAACAUGGAUUUCACAGCAAUUGUGCUGCCUUAGUAACCAAACUGUAUACAGAAUACAUAUUAAGGGACAGCACAAACAUAAAAAUACAAGUUGAAUACAAGUUGAAUUUUUUAAGACUUCUUAAAAUCACCUAUCUCGGCAAACAAAUUUGGGGAUUCAGUUCCACCAUUUGGCCAUAUUGUGUUAAGUCCAUCACUACUUCCCAGUACCCCAAUGUCGGUGGGGCUAACUAAUUCCAACGUGGGAGACAAAUUAAAUAGUGUUAGUGCUAAAUGAGCUAAAGUAUAUUUUUAUAAUCUGUUGUAAGAGCAUUGCUUAGAUGUAUAUACCCACAGUGCAUAUCAUAUCUGCUCUAUACCCAAUAAAUAUUAUAAUUAAAGUAACAUUACUAUCCAAAACCUCAUCAAAUAUACUUUCCUGUGGUUCCCUAUGAGACGCAUUUGAUUGUACAUGCACCAUGCUCGACACACAUGCGCAAAUCACCCUCAAUGCUUUUCUGUGAGAAGCAUCAAAUUGAAUGAUCACUGAGGAAGCGAUGCUUCCAGGAUGAUAUUGUGGUAGGAGGAGUGGGUGGCAGUUAGUGUUAGACAUGUGCAAUUCGAUUCAGUCCGAAUGUGAAUUUGGACGAAUUUCGGGCAAUUCGGACAUUCGGGUACUUCUGAAUGUCCGAAUAGAUGAAUUGCUGAAUUGCCAAAUGGUUGAAGUCCCGAAGUUCCGAAAUGACUGAAUUUCCGAAGUGUCGAAGUUCCGAAGUUCCCAAGUUGACGAAGUUCCGAAGUGCCGAAGUGUCGAAGUUCCGAAGCACAGUAUUGCCUAAGAACUAAUAUACUUACCAGCACUAAUAUACUUGCAACACUUACAACAAUCAAGUAACAUACAUUCAUAUAAAAUGUAAAUUACUUAGCCAGUCAGUGUAAUGACAGGAAUGAAUAAGUAGAUAACUCCCUAAUUCCCACGGUAUUAGGGAGCUAUCUACUAAAAGGCUGAAAGACCAAUUAAAGAUUACUUAGUAUUAGUAAAUUAUGCCCCUACUCGCUAUACUGCGGUGGGUGGGGGCCCUAAAUUAGAAUAAGGGGGGGACCUAAUGUCCUCCCCCCUGGCCCCCACCCCUGAGCAGUGGGUGGGGCCCUACAGUAAUAUAAGGGGGGGGACCUAAUGUCCUCCCCCUGGCCCCCAUCCCUGAGCGAUGGGUUGGGGCCCUAAAUUGGAAUAAAGGGGGGGGACCGAAUGUCCUCCCCCUGGCCCCCACCCCUGAGCGGCAGGUGGGGGGCCUAAAUUGGAAUAAGGGGGGGGGACCUAAUGACCUAAUGUUCUCCUCCCUGGCCCCCACCCCUGAGCGGUGGGGUGGGGGCCCUAAAUACCAAUAUUAUGGAUUUUUUAUUUGGCCUUUUUGGGGGCUGAAAAAAGAAGAUUUUAGAAGAAAGAAAACAUCAAAUGGUAAUUUUUAUUUUUUUACAGUUAAAGGUACCCCCUUCAUUAUUUUUAGGGUGAGGGGGGUAGGUGGGGGUUAAUUUUUUGGGGGGUGACUAGGGUUUUGGGGACCCCUAAUCACCUGGGGGGGGGUAAAAUUUUUAUUUAGGGCCCCCACCUGCCGGUCAGGGGUGGGGACCGGGGAGGGAGGUCAAUAGGUUCCCUCUCCUAUUGGUAUUUAGGGCCCCCAUCCGCUGCUCAGGAGUGGGGGCCAGGGGGAGGACAUUAGGUCUCCCCUCUUAUUAGUAUUUAGGGCCCCCAUCUGCUGCUCAGGGGUGGGGGCCAGGGAGAAGGACAUUAGGCCCCCCCUUAUUCCAAUUUAGGGCCCCUACCCGCCGCUCAGGGGUGGGGGCCAGGGGGGAGGACAUUAGUUCCCCCCCUUAUUAGUAUUUAGGGCCCCCACCCACGGCUCAGGGGUGGGGGCCAGGGCAGAGGACAUUAGAUCCCCCCCCCUUAUUCCAAUUGAGGGCCCCCACCUGCCGCUCAGGGGGGAGGACAUUAGGUCCCCCCUUAUUUUACUGUAGGGCUCCCACCCACCGCUCAGGGGUGGGGGCUAGGGGGAGGACAUUAGGUCCCCCCCCUUAUUAUAAUUUAGGGCCCCCCUCCACCGCUCAGGGGUGGGGGCCAGGGGGGAGGACAUUAUGGUUGCCAGACUUUGAGGUUAAACUGUUGGUGAAUGGUUUAACUCCUUUAUUAGUAUUUAGGGCCCCCACCCACCACUCAGGGGUGGGGGCCGGGGGGGAGGACAAUAGGUCCCCCCAUCCUUUACUUUUGGGCCCCCACCCGCCACUCAGGGGUGGGGGCAGGGGGGAAAUAGGUCAUUUUUUUUAAUUUUUUUUAACAGUGUGCAGCCACAGGCUGCUCACUGUUUAAUAGACAUCUCAACCAUUCAUAUUUUAGUUGGCACCAGAACUAGUUAAGUACAUAGAUUUACUGAAACCUUGAAAUUUAAAAUAUCAUUGCAGUUAGGUAUUUACUAUGAGGCAGUUAGGUCGCCUAAAAGACUAUGUUUUUUGGUCGCCUAACUGACGCUAGACAUCCUCACGCUAUGCAUGGGGACAUUCAGCAUUACCAAAUGCUUUCCUAUAGGGAAAUCCUAAUGCGAGCGUGGCCAUUGCCGGUGGGGGAGGAGUGAAGGCGGACCUAAGCCAGUGACAAAAAACAUUGUUUUGUUUUCUUGGAUCUGUAGAUUCCCUUUACGUUGUUAUGAGAGUUGUGCAAUGGGCCAGUGAGAGAGAUCUUUGAAAGGACUGAGUUCUCAAUCUUACUGAAUAGGCCAGCGAUGGUGAGAGACUUUGAUGUCCCUGGUCAGCCUUGUCCAUGGCCAUCGCAGGCCACCGCGCUAUAUUCCUUAUCAGGAUGAUCUCAACUUUAGUAAUAUUGAUUUUGAUCAAGUUUUCACAUCAUUCAUUGACUUAGAGAGGUUUUUUUUUUUAAAUCUAAUAUUAUUUUAAUAGAUUCUUUGGGAAAAGCGUUAAAAUUAUUUAGCGAAUUUGCCUUUUACCGGAUUUGUUCAAAGUGAAUGUGGUUGUAAUAUUGCAUUUGAUAAAUAUUUUUUGCACGUUCUUGUUGUAGGUGGUUUACUACAGUUUCAAUGGUGGGAAGGAAUAACCCAUUACUUUUAAGCUCCUUUCAUAUAACGGAUUCAUAUUUAAUUUAGCUUUGUUUAUUUUGUUCGGUUGCAGAACGUAGACCACCCCAGGAACAUUGAGUAUCUUGUACAAAAACCGCAAAGGAACUAAUAAUGG